UACGAGAGGCCCAAACGUUAUUCGGAAUUACUGGGCUUAAAGAGUUCGUAGGCGGCAUUGCAAGUAGGGUGUGAAAGCCCUCGGCUCAACCGAGGAAUUGCGCUCUAAACUGCAGUGCUUGAGGAACCUAGAGGUGAGCAGAACAGAUGGUGGAGCGGUGAAAUGCGUUGAUAUCAUCUGGAAUACCGGAGGCGAAGGCGGCUCACUGGGAGUUUUCUGACGCUGAGGAGCGAAAGCCAGGGGAGCAAACGGG
RNAcentral lists this ribosomal RNA (253 nucleotides) under uncultured bacterium. Its description in RNAcentral is "partial 16S ribosomal RNA". It matches the Rfam family "Bacterial small subunit ribosomal RNA", at positions 524 to 776 of the family's 1533-position model. The record is from RNAcentral.